RNAcentral lists this ribosomal RNA (859 nucleotides) under Levilactobacillus brevis. RNAcentral describes it as "bacterial SSU rRNA". It matches the Rfam family "Bacterial small subunit ribosomal RNA", at positions 34 to 885 of the family's 1533-position model. Lineage: Bacteria; Bacillati; Bacillota; Bacilli; Lactobacillales; Lactobacillaceae. The record is from RNAcentral.
UGCAGUCGACGAGCUUCCGUUGAAUGACGUGCUUGCACUGAUUUCAACAAUGAAGCGAGUGGCGAACUGGUGAGUAACACGUGGGGAAUCUGCCCAGAAGCAGGGGAUAACACUUGGAAACAGGUGCUAAUACCGUAUAACAACAAAAUCCGCAUGGAUUUUGUUUGAAAGGUGGCUUCGGCUAUCACUUCUGGAUGAUCCCGCGGCGUAUUAGUUAGUUGGUGAGGUAAAGGCCCACCAAGACGAUGAUACGUAGCCGACCUGAGAGGGUAAUCGGCCACAUUGGGACUGAGACACGGCCCAAACUCCUACGGGAGGCAGCAGUAGGGAAUCUUCCACAAUGGACGAAAGUCUGAUGGAGCAAUGCCGCGUGAGUGAAGAAGGGUUUCGGCUCGUAAAACUCUGUUGUUAAAGAAGAACACCUUUGAGAGUAACUGUUCAAGGGUUGACGGUAUUUAACCAGAAAGCCACGGCUAACUACGUGCCAGCAGCCGCGGUAAUACGUAGGUGGCAAGCGUUGUCCGGAUUUAUUGGGCGUAAAGCGAGCGCAGGCGGUUUUUUAAGUCUGAUGUGAAAGCCUUCGGCUUAACCGGAGAAGUGCAUCGGAAACUGGGAGACUUGAGUGCAGAAGAGGACAGUGGAACUCCAUGUGUAGCGGUGGAAUGCGUAGAUAUAUGGAAGAACACCAGUGGCGAAAGCGGCUGUCUAGUCUGUAACUGACGCUGAGGCUCGAAAGCAUGGGUAGCGAACAGGAUUAGAUACCCUGGUAGUCCAUGCCGUAACGAUGAGUGCUAAGUGUUGGAGGGUUUCCGCCCUUCAGUGCUGCAGCUAACGCAUAAGCACUCGCUGGGGAGUACGA